GCGCAAUAAUAGAAACUAACCAGGAUUCCCUUAGUAACGGCGAGUGAAGUGGGAAGCAKUGCAUACGUCGGCGUAAUCUAUUACGUGUUCGUAGCUCAGCCCGUCGAUAUAAUCCAUUCUUAGCUGUCGUACUUCGGUACUUCUGCUGGAAGGAAUUGUAGCAUCGAAAGCAUUCAAGUUGUAUUCAUCACACACACGCAUAGCAAUACACACACACACACACAUACACACCCAUGCUGCUGCAACGUGUCAAUACACAUAGUGUUAUCAUAUAUACGAUUCAAACACACAGCGUUUAGCGCUGGAAAGCAAUCCUUGUAGUUUCACUACAGCCAUAGAGUGUGACAGCCACGUUUUAUGGAAAUAUUGAUACACUCGUAACACACACACACACGCAUGCAGUCUCUCUAUGUAUAUGCACAUGCAGAGUGAUACAUAACGCAUUACGCGUCUGAAUACGUAAUUCGUGAAUGUUGACCCUGAGUCGAGUUGUUU
RNAcentral lists this ribosomal RNA (495 nucleotides) under Heterostegina depressa. RNAcentral's name for it is "partial 28S ribosomal RNA". Lineage: Eukaryota; Foraminifera; Rotaliida; Nummulitidae. The record is from RNAcentral.